GACUACCCCCAUUUUCUCUCGCUCUCAACCCUAGUCGCCUCUCAUCACCAAAUCCAUCUCUGCCGGCGGCCAAGCUUCAAACUCCCUCAAAUUAAUACCCUACAAUCCUCGUCUUCUCCCCAUCCCAUAUCUCUUCUUAAUUUCAUUCAAAACAUCAUAGAUUUCCUUUAUUUUCCAAUCUGAGAAAUUUCAAAACCUAGUUUUAUUCCUCUUCGAUUUCUUCAGUGAUUCUUAAUCGUUUUGACUUGAAACUGUCAUUGAUCAAUUGCUCUUGUCAAGAGCAAUCGAUUAAUGUAAGUUUUAGCUCAUUUCGAAGCCAUCAAAAUUCGGCCAAACCACUGUUGGCCGGCAAGUUGCUCGUCAAUUAUUCCGUUCUGCUUCUUUGGCUCGCCGGGAUCGCUUUCAUCAAUCCAUUGGACCUUAAUAGUAAUGUUUGGUAGUAAAAUCGUGAUAAAGAAGAGUCAUCAGUGCAAUGAACACGGCUGCAGUUCAUAAAUUUGGCCACUUAUUGGUCAAAUCUAUAAAUCGCAAAGCCAAACGUUAGAGCAUCAGAGGUUUUUGGAGUCACUGCAAAUCAGCUCACUCAGAUAUAAGUGUGAAUGUCUAUGUUUGUAAUUGUACUACUAAUUUGAAGGAAAUGUAUUUCAUCAUAUAGCGUAAUUGAGUAGAUAUUGUAAUAAACACUGAAAUUCCUUUAGUUGAUUGUUAAUCGCCUAUUCCUGUUGGUAUGUAAUAUAUUCUGAAAUUAGUGAAGAUCCAGCCAAACAUGUGAAUAAUAGUUAAUUUCUGUUAA
Nicotiana tabacum (common tobacco) is the source of this 793-nucleotide non-coding RNA. The record is from RefSeq and is a predicted model, not a curated record. NCBI's taxonomy places the organism in Eukaryota, Viridiplantae, Streptophyta, Magnoliopsida, Solanales, Solanaceae.